CUCCAGAUGACGAGCCCCAAAUAGGACGAAAUACGCAUUCUGGAU
Molecule: non-coding RNA, 45 nt
Filed under: Trichobilharzia regenti
Lineage: Eukaryota; Metazoa; Platyhelminthes; Trematoda; Strigeidida; Schistosomatidae
Source: RNAcentral